This 248-nucleotide ribosomal RNA is filed under the name uncultured Roseburia sp. Its description in RNAcentral is "partial 16S ribosomal RNA". It matches the Rfam family "Bacterial small subunit ribosomal RNA", at positions 524 to 771 of the family's 1533-position model. Lineage: Bacteria; Bacillati; Bacillota; Clostridia; Lachnospirales; Lachnospiraceae. The record is from RNAcentral.
UACGUAUGGAGCAAGCGUUAUCCGGAUUUACUGGGUGUAAAGGGAGCGCAGGCGGUGCGGCAAGUCUGGUGUGAAAGGCCGGGGCCCAACCCCGGGACUGCAUUGGAAACUGUCGCGCUGGAGUGUCGGAGGGGCAGGCGGAAUUCCUAGUGUAGCGGUGAAAUGCGUAGAUAUUAGGAGGAACACCGGUGGCGAAGGCGGCCUGCUGGACGGCAACUGACGCUGAGGCUCGAAAGCGUGGGGAGCAA